GAAAGUCCCAAGUCCCUGCGCCGCUGUAAUUUUGAGUUUUUCUCCAUAAUAAUAGUAAAGGGGGAUCCAAAAUCAAAUUAUCGAGUUUUCUUGUGCUUCUGAUUACGAGUAGUAUCGAGCGAGUUUUCUCACAGUUCCCUGCAGGACUUCUCCUGGAUAUUACAAAAUGCAACUUAGUUCUCAUU
RNAcentral lists this small RNA (185 nucleotides) under Cryptococcus neoformans H99. Its description in RNAcentral is "Cryptococcus neoformans var. grubii H99 hypothetical RNA". The record is from RNAcentral. Lineage: Eukaryota; Fungi; Basidiomycota; Tremellomycetes; Tremellales; Cryptococcaceae.